CUUGGAGAUUGGGAUUAGGAGUACAUCGACUCCUAGAACAGUUCCAACGAGGCCCAACACCUCCACCCGGAGCAUUAGUUGAAGUUGGAGUCGAUCCACAAGCAUUAACAAAGACAUUGUGGGAGUGCACAUGCCGACGAUGACGGGGUGCGAGAGUGUGAAUGAUGAUAUUGCCUGUGCACAAUGUGGGGGAGCACACGAUGGCAUUAGCUGUGCAUGAUGUGGGGGUGCCCAUGAUGACUCCAACUAUGUGCGGUGUGGGAGUGCACAUGAGCUGA
Molecule: non-coding RNA, 278 nt
Organism: Theobroma cacao (cacao)
Lineage: Eukaryota; Viridiplantae; Streptophyta; Magnoliopsida; Malvales; Malvaceae
Source: RefSeq, a predicted model, not a curated record